CUAAGGCCCAGAAAGAGGAAGAGGCUGUCCCCUGGGGCUGAGGGAAGUGUUAUUAUGGAUUCUGUUGACCUCUGAAGCUUCUGGAACUUGGGAGAAGUCUCGGUAAAGGGGAAGCCCGUGGAGAACUGGAACACUGUCGUGAUGAUUCUGUCCCUUGGUACUCUUCUCUCCAUUCUCACAGCCAAAGAUCUGAGGAAGAUUUGUGCUUUUUGAAGCAAAAUGAUUUGGGUAAUUCUGAUGCACUCAAGAAAAGUCUUCUCAGAAAACAAAAGAAGACAUGUUCUUCCCCUUCAGAUUAAGCAAUCCUAGGGAAUGAUAUCAAAGGCUUCAUUUUAUUGGUACACUUAAUCACUGGCCGUUCUUUCUGAUGACUCAUUUUGUCGCACAUUGGGAUUUGGAAAUUUCUUGGUCCGCUUGGGAAUACGUUGCCUUCACUGCCGGGAGGGCAGAGGAGCCUCCCUGCUGACUUCAGACCCUAGAAGCUCUGAGGUCAGUGAUGACGACCGGGAGAAAGCAAGACAGCCUCUCCCGCACUAGGAGGAGAAAGGGCGCAUUCUAUUUGCCAGGAUGGAGCCGAUCAGAAGCCCAGAUAUCUCCCUCCUGCCUCCGACCACCUAACAGGCAACAGUGUAUCCGAGUGGGGAAGCACACUGGCAGAGAGCAGGGCAGUUAAGAUCAACACAUUAUGGAGGAAGCAUGUGUCCCUCUCAAGAAAGCAAGCAGACACAGAGCUUUGCGUGUUCCUCAGUGGGGAACAUCCCCAGUGUCCACGGAUGGAUGAAUGGACAAAGGUGUGGCAUAUACAUGGCAAGGAAUAUUACUCAGCCAUAAAAAGGAAUGAAACCUUGUCAUUUGCAACAUGGAUGGACCUCCAGGGCAUUCGGCUAAACGAAGUAAAUGCGAUACAGAAAAGCAAAUACUAUAUGACCUCAUUUAUAUGUGGAAUGUAAGCAACGUCAACAGCACCAAAAUAAAAACCACAAAAACAAAAACAAAAAAAUCCAGCGCAUGAAAAUAGAUUGGCAGUUGCCUGGGGUGGGGUGGGUGGGGAAGGUGAAAUGUGCUAAAUUGGUGAAAAGAGUGAAAAGGUACAAAUUUCCAGUUAUAAAAUGAAUAAAUCAUUGGGACGUCCCGUACAGCGUGGUGACUGUAGUUAAUUCUGUACCGUGUAUUUGGAAGUAGGUAAGGGAGUGGAUCUUGAAAGUUCUCAUCACAAGGAAAAAAAUGUGUAACUUUCUGUGGCAAUGGAUAUUAACGGAACCUACUGUGAUGAUCACAGACAAAUACAGAGUCAUUGUGUAUUUGAAACUAUUGAAGCAUUUGAAACUAAUAUAAUGUUAUGUCAAUUAUUCCCCUCUCUCUCUCUCUCUCUCACUCUGUGUGUGUGUGUGUGUGUGUGUAUCAAAAUAUACCUCUGGCAUAAUGAUUAUUUUGUGCUGAAGUCGACUGAG
Neogale vison (American mink) is the source of this 1451-nucleotide long non-coding RNA. RefSeq lists it as uncharacterized. NCBI's taxonomy places the organism in Eukaryota, Metazoa, Chordata, Mammalia, Carnivora, Mustelidae. The record is from RefSeq and is a predicted model, not a curated record. The transcript is spliced from 4 exons.